CAGUCGCCGCGGUAAUGCGUAGGGGGCAAGCGUUAUCCGGAUUUACUGGGUGUAAAGGGAGCGCAGGCGGUGCGGCAAGUCUGAUGUGAAAGCCCGGGGCUCAACCCCGGGACUGCAUUGGAAACUGUCGUACUUGAGUAUCGGAGAGGUAAGUGGAAUUCCUAGUGUAGCGGUGAAAUGCGUAGAUAUUAGGAGGAACACCAGUGGCGAAGGCGGCUUACUGGACGAUAACUGACGCUGAGGCUCGAAAGCGUGGGGAGCAAACAGGAUUAGAUACCCCAGUAGUCCCUGUCUCUUAUAC
RNAcentral lists this ribosomal RNA (301 nucleotides) under uncultured bacterium. RNAcentral describes it as "partial 16S ribosomal RNA". It matches the Rfam family "Bacterial small subunit ribosomal RNA", at positions 509 to 807 of the family's 1533-position model. The record is from RNAcentral.